This 418-nucleotide long non-coding RNA is filed under the name Manihot esculenta (cassava). RNAcentral describes it as "long non-coding RNA (MESC_LNC001708)". Lineage: Eukaryota; Viridiplantae; Streptophyta; Magnoliopsida; Malpighiales; Euphorbiaceae. The record is from RNAcentral.
CCCCACACCUAACCUUUUGCUUGUCCUCAAGCAAAUAAACAUAGUCAAAUAAGCUUUCUUUGCUACUUGAUCCUUAUUUCCACUUAAGCUCUUACUCUAGACCCUUAUUUUGAAGCAUUGCAGUGAAGAAUAUAUGCAUGAAGAUUACUUACCUCCUUUCCUUGUUUCCCUUUGCUUACCAUGGCUAGGAUUUAUUUUCCUCAAGAGAGACCAUACAUGCACAUUAUUUGUUAAGACUUUUUCUAGCUUUCAGAGUGACUUGCCCUUACCUUGAAGUACUUUAUUCAGGCUUUUGCACUUUAGAUCUUGGAAAGGUCACCAACCUAUUUUUGAUUGAAGGUUUAUAUUUUUCAGUUGGUCACCUAUCCAAGUGGCUACUAGCUCUGUUCAUAGUCUUUUGACCAUUGGAACAAUUUNN